This 226-nucleotide ribosomal RNA is filed under the name uncultured bacterium. Its description in RNAcentral is "partial 16S ribosomal RNA". It matches the Rfam family "Bacterial small subunit ribosomal RNA", at positions 28 to 250 of the family's 1533-position model. The record is from RNAcentral.
GAUGAACGCUAGCGGCAGGCUUAAUACAUGCAAGUCGAGGGGGCAACAGGGGUAGCAAUACCUGCUGGCGACCGGCAAACGGGUGCGGAACACGUACAGAACCUUCCUUUAAGCGGGGGAUAGCCCAUAGAAAUGUGGAUUAAUACCCCAUAGUAAUACUGGCUGGCAUCAGUUGGUAUUUAAAGUAUUUAUCACUUAAAGAUGGCUGUGCGUAUGAUUAGUAGUU